CAGGGGGCUGUCCCAGCUGUUCCAGCUGUUCCAGAUGUUUUCCUGCCUCUCCUCGCAGCCCCCAGGGGAGCCGGCAGCGCUGGAGGAGGGCGGAUACCUGGACACGGUCCAUCCCAAGGUCCGGAGCAAUUUGGGAAACCAGGAGGGCACUGCCAGGGGGACGCCAGCGCAGCCCGGGGCUGUCGCUGGGGACAUGCGACAGCAGCUGGAGGAGCGCGAGCAGGCGCUGCAGCUGGCGCGGGACACGAUCCAGGUGAGCGCAUCCCAAAUCCCGGGGCCGGGAGCGACCCUGGAGGGACACGGGGACAUCCCGGGGGGACACGGGGACAUCCCGGCGGGACACUCGCGACACUGGCCUGGCCCCCGCCCUUAUUCCCGGUUUUUCCCUGUUCCCCGUUUCCCGGCUUUUCUUUGUACCUCCUUCCCUAAAAUUUUCCC
Ficedula albicollis (Collared flycatcher) is the source of this 438-nucleotide long non-coding RNA. RefSeq lists it as uncharacterized. The transcript is spliced from 3 exons. Lineage: Eukaryota; Metazoa; Chordata; Aves; Passeriformes; Muscicapidae. The record is from RefSeq and is a predicted model, not a curated record.